UAGGGAAUCUUCCGCAAUGGACGCAAGUCUGACGGAGCAACGCCGCGUGAGUGAAGAAGGAUUUCGGUUCGUAAAACUCUGUUGUUAGAGAAGAACAGCGCAUAGAGUAACUGUUAUGCGUGUGACGGUAUCUAACCAGAAAGCCACGGCUAACUACGUGCCAGCAGCCGCGGUAAUACGUAGGUGGCAAGCGUUGUCCGGAUUUAUUGGGCGUAAAGCGAGCGCAGGCGGUCAAUUAAGUCUGAUGUGAAAGCCCCCGGCUCAACCGGGGAGGGUCAUUGGAAACUGGUUGACUUGAGUGCAGAAGAGGAGAGUGGAAUUCCAUGUGUAGCGGUGAAAUGCGUAGAUAUAUGGAGGAACACCAGUAGCGAAGGCGACUCUCUGGUCUGUAACUGACGCUGAGGCUCGAAAGCGUGGGUAGCAAACAGG
RNAcentral lists this ribosomal RNA (429 nucleotides) under Bacteroidota bacterium. RNAcentral's name for it is "Bacteroidetes bacterium partial 16S ribosomal RNA". It matches the Rfam family "Bacterial small subunit ribosomal RNA", at positions 355 to 776 of the family's 1533-position model. Lineage: Bacteria; Pseudomonadati; Bacteroidota. The record is from RNAcentral.